CGGAGUAUUAAGUUAAGUAAACUGUUAGCCUUCAAAGCUGAAAAUGGGGUUUCUCAUAUUUUGU
Molecule: transfer RNA, 64 nt
Filed under: Heterometrus longimanus
Lineage: Eukaryota; Metazoa; Arthropoda; Arachnida; Scorpiones; Scorpionidae
Description: tRNA-Trp
Source: RNAcentral